UUAUGGCCUUAUCGAAGCUGCAAUACUUUUUAUAAAGAAGUGCUGCAGUCAAAAUUGGCCAAAAAUAAUCUAUGAGCUCCUUACUUAUGGUCACAGGUUGAAUUAGAUUAAAUAUUCUUGCUGUAUUACCCAGAAGGAGUACAAAU
Small nucleolar RNA from Vespa mandarinia (Asian giant hornet), 146 nucleotides. The record is from RefSeq and is a predicted model, not a curated record. Lineage: Eukaryota; Metazoa; Arthropoda; Insecta; Hymenoptera; Vespidae.